Molecule: ribosomal RNA, 253 nt
Filed under: uncultured bacterium
Lineage: Bacteria
Description: partial 16S ribosomal RNA
Rfam family: Bacterial small subunit ribosomal RNA
Source: RNAcentral
UACGUAGGUGGCAAGCGUUGUCCGGAUUUAUUGGGCGUAAAGCGCGCGCAGGUGGUGGCGGCCGUCCGUCGUGAAAUCUCCCGGCUCACCCGGGAGGGGGCGGGGGAGACACCGCCACUAGAGGCACUCAGAGGCCGGUGGAAUUCCCGGUGUAGUGGUGAAAUGCGUAGAGAUCGGGAGGAACACCUGUGGCGAAGGCGGCCGGCUGGGGGUGACCUGACGCUGAGGCGCGACAGCGUGGGGAGCGAACCGG